AAAAUGUAUUUGUAAAGAUGGCUUGAUUAGUGGGAACCAAUGAAGAUCUCUAUAAGAACGGUUGUUAAUCGAGCCACCUCUGCCCUAAAAAGAUUCCAUUGCUGGAAAUAUGUGUUAGUGCUCCUCCCCAGAGUGGAAACCCUUUCACUCGUUAUUUGAGAGCUCUUCAAGAUUUCAGUAAGAUGUGCAUAAAGGUAAUAUUGAUCUGAGUUAGGUGUACACGCGUGCAUAUUCUUUGUUUCGAUCGAUCGAUCAAAUUAUAGGUUGGUGCUAGUAGGUAGGCGAUGAUAUGCAUGAUCGUGCUGUUGUUCGCUUUGGACUGUUUGUCCCUCGACGUUGUCACUCACGGCCGCGCAGUCCGGACCCUGAUUUGAUUAUAUUAACUAACUAGGUAGGCACAGACGAUGCUGCUACUUAUAAUUAUAUUUAUUAUAUAGUUGUUUAGUUCACCCUAAAAACAAAAAAAAAAUCAAGAUUUCUUGUCACAUCGAAUCUUGCGGCACAUGCAUAGAGUAUUAAAUAUAAAUGUUACUCUAUAAUUGGAUAAUUUUUGUCAAAUAAAAACGAAAGUACUAUAGUGUCAAAAUUCAAAAAAUUUUGGAUCUAAACAAGGCCAAGUUGGAGAGAGAUUAUUCAAUGGAUUUAGUCGCCCGUGUAAUCGUGUUCAAGGACGAGGGAUAUGUGUAAAUAAAUCUGUAGCAUCUUUCCCCGCUUGUCUCGUUGUGAUGGAUCCACUUCCAGACUGGCUGAUUGAAUUGAAUAGCAGGUUCCACGC
Molecule: long non-coding RNA, 775 nt
Filed under: Sorghum bicolor (sorghum)
Lineage: Eukaryota; Viridiplantae; Streptophyta; Magnoliopsida; Poales; Poaceae
Description: long non-coding RNA (SBIC_LNC011843)
Source: RNAcentral